RNAcentral lists this transfer-messenger RNA (360 nucleotides) under Pseudomonadota bacterium. Its description in RNAcentral is "Proteobacteria bacterium (groundwater metagenome) transfer-messenger RNA". It matches the Rfam family "transfer-messenger RNA". Rfam says of the family: Bacterial tmRNA, also known as 10Sa RNA or SsrA, is named for its dual tRNA and mRNA-like properties. Lineage: Bacteria; Pseudomonadati; Pseudomonadota. The record is from RNAcentral. RNAcentral also lists the same sequence under 1 other name.
GGGGAUGAAACGGAUUCGACGGGGACAUAUAAGCUUGGGCUGCAUGUCGAGUUCUGAUAACUCGUUAAACUGUCAGACUUUAAACAUAAUCGCAGACGAUUAUGCACACGCUGUAGCAGCUUAACCUGCUACCGUUCACCAUAACCCCCUCCCACGGGGUUUUGAUUGAACGUCGCUAAUGUGGGAUAGCCUGUCGGCUGCGACUGCCGGCUGACGGGCGAAAACAAAGCAGGAUAGUGUCGGAAAUUCUUGUUCUGGAGAUGCUCUGACACGAUAAAAAAAACUUGUACAGGACUAAACAUGUAGACGCCUGCAGGGGAGUGUUUUCGGACGCGGGUUCGACUCCCGCCAUCUCCACCA